RNAcentral lists this long non-coding RNA (2013 nucleotides) under Salmo salar (Atlantic salmon). RNAcentral describes it as "lncRNA (ENSSSAG00000104559.1)". Lineage: Eukaryota; Metazoa; Chordata; Actinopteri; Salmoniformes; Salmonidae. The record is from RNAcentral.
CUCUGAAGGAGGUUGUUAAUGAGCAGACACUCCUGUUAGUCUCUAAAGGAGGUUGUUAAUGAGCAGACACUCCUGUUAGUCUCUAAAGGAGGUUGUUAAUGAGAAUGAGCAGACACUCCUGUUAGUCUCUAAAGGAGGUUGUUUAUGAGAAUGAGCAGACACUCCUGUUAGUCUCUAAAGGAGGUUGUUUAUGAGAAUGAGCAGACACUCCUGUUAGUCUCUAAAGGAGGUUGUUUAUGAGAAUGAGCAGACACUCCUGUUAGUCUCUAAAGGAGGUUGUUUAUGAGAAUGAGCAGACACUCCUGUUAGUCUCUAAAGGAGGUUGUUAAUGAGAAUGAGCAGACACUCCUGUUAGUCUCUAAAGGAGGUUGUUAAUGAGAAUGAGCAGACACUCCUGUUAGUCUCUAAAGGAGGUUGUUAAUGAGAAUGAGCAGACACUCCUGUUAGUCUCUAAAGGAGGUUGUUAAUGAGAAUGAGCAGACACUCCUGUUAGUCUCUAAAGGAGGUUGUUAAUGAGCAGACACUCCUGUUAGUCUCUAAAGGAGGUUGUUAAUGAGAAUGAGCAGACACUCCUGUUAGUCUCUAAAGGAGGUUGUUAAUGAGAGUGAGCAGACACUCCUGUUAGUCUCUAAAGGAGGUUGUUAAUGAGCAGACACUCCUGUUAGUCUCUAAAGGAGAUUGUUAAUGAGAAUGAGCAGACACUCCUGUUAGUCUCUAAAGGAGGUUGUUAAUGAGAGUGAGCAGACACUCCUGUUAGUCUCUAAAGGAGGUUGUUAAUGAGAGUGAGCAGACACUCCUGUUAGUCUCUAAAGGAGGUUGUUAAUGAGAGUGAGCAGACACUCCUGUUAGCUCAGUUGACUUUAGUCCCUGUUCCAUCCUUCAGAUUAGCAUGGAGGUGAGUGACUUUCACAGCAUGACAUCUGCUCCCCAGCUGAGCACAGCACCUGUGUUAACUAGGAUCAGUUCCUCCCAGGCCAACAGGGCUUCUCUCUGAGCCAACAGUGAUCUCUGUCUCUCUCUCUGUCAGCUAGUUAAGUCCUCCACCUGGUGCACCACACCGAUACCACAGUCAAGAGUCCUCUAGGGAGUGUUAUGAUCUUUCUCUCUUUCAGCCUUGGCUUGUGUAACCUGGCCUGUCUAGUACCUCUGUCUGUGUGUGUGUGUGUGUGUGUGUGUGUGUGUGUGUGUGUGUGUGUGUGUGUGUGUGUGUGUGUGUGUGUGUGUGUGUUAUAAAUCCCAAAGCCUUCGGGUACCUGGCCACACCAGAGCAGAGCCUGUCGUGUUUGUGUGGUAUACUUGGCACCAUCGAAAGGCCCUGAAUUGCGUUUGGGGUUGAAGGGAACACAACAAAAACCCCGAGCUCUUCUUCAAGACUCUGUUCAAGCUGAAAGAGAGAUGCCUGGCCUUUCAACUGUCUGUCCUGGGGGAGACCUUCACCAACGUGCCAGGUACACACACACACACGCCUUUCUACAAGUAAAACAUUUAGUGAGCUCUGGUUCGGCGAUGACACUCAUUUUCAAAGCAGCAGUGGAUGUUUGGGUUUAAAACUGUUUUAAAGUUCUACUCCGUUCAUGGCGGUGUGGUGCACCAGGUGGAGGAAUUAACAAACUGACAGAGAGAGGGACAGAGAUCACUGUUGUGCAGCCAAGGUGUUAUGUUGAGUGUUCUGGCUUUCGAUGUGAUUGGUCAUUUUAGUAGGUGUAGGGUUAAGGCUGUCUCAGACAUGCAUUUUGUUGCAUUAUGUUAUUUAGUUUACCCUCCAUUAAACUGAAGUCUUUGUGUAGGAAUCUAAUCCGUUAUAAACAGUUCACAUAGUGAGCAACUGAACAAAGCCGAAUAGUCUACUCAGGCAUUUUACUUAAUUAAAUGAAAGUAGAGCAAAUAAUGUCUCUCGCUCUCUCUCUCUUUUAUCUCUUUAUCUCUAUCUAUAUCUCUCUUGAUCUCGAUCUCUCUCUCUCUUUAUCUCUAUUUCUCUCUCUGUCUCUAUCUAUAUCUCUCUCUUGAUCUCGA